CAUGCAGUCGAACGCGAAAGAGGGGGCAGCCCCUCGAGUUAGAGUGGCGAACGGGUGAGUAACGCGUGAAGAACCUGCCUUCAAGAGGGGGAUAACACUCCCAACGGGGUGCUAAUACCGCAUGAGACCACGGGAUCGCAUGGUCCUGAGGUCAAAGGUGGCCUCUAUUUAUAAGCUACCGGUCGAAGAUGGCUUCGCGUCCCAUUAGCUUGUUGGUGGUGUAACGGACCACCAAGGCAACGAUGGGUAGCUGGUCUGAGAGGAUGGUCAGCCACACUGGGACUGAGAUACGGCCCAGACUCCUACGGGAGGCAGCAGUCGAGAGGCUUUGUCAAUGGGGGAAACCCUGAACAAGCGACGCCGCGUGGAGGAUGAAGGCCCUUGGGUUGUAAACUCCUUUUGUCGGGGAAGAAACACGAUCAGGUCAAUAUCCUGGUCGCUUGACGGUACCCGACGAAUAAGCUCCGGCUAACUCCGUGCCAGCAGCCGCGGUAAUACGGGGGGAGCAAGCGUUGUUCGGAAUUACUGGGCGUAAAGGGCGUGUAGGCGGCUAGAUAAGUGAGGUGUGAAAGGUCUCGGCUCACCCGAGGACGUGCAUCUCAUACUGUUUAGCUUGAGUAUGGGAGAGGAUGGGGGAAUUCCUGGUGUAGCGGUGAAAUGCGUAGAUAUCAGGAGGAACACCAGUGGCGAAGGCGCCCAUCUGGCCCAAUACUGACGCAGAGGCGCGAAAGCCAGGGGAGCAAACGGGAUUAGAUACCCGGUAGUCCUAGCCGUAAACGGUGAUCACUAGGUGUUGGAGGCAUUGACCCCUCCAGUGCCGCAGCUAACGCAUUAAGUGAUCCGCCUGGGGAGUACGGCCGCAAGGCUGAAACUCAAAGGAAUUGACGGGGGCCCGCACAAGCGGUGGAGCAUGUGGUUCAAUUCGACGCAACGCGAAGAACCUUACCCAGACUUGACAUGCUUAGGACCGGUGUGGAAACACACCUUCCCUUCGGGGCCUUUGCACAGGUGCUGCAUGGCUGUCGUCAGCUCGUGUCGUGAGAUGUUGGGUUAAGUCCCGCAACGAGCGCAACCCUUGUCCUUAGUUGCUAACGGGUAAUGCCGAGCACUCUAGGGAGACUGCCGGUGAUAAACCGGAGGAAGGUGGGGAUGACGUCAAGUCCUCAUGGCCCUUACGUCUGGGGCUACACACGUGCUACAAUGGCCGGUACAGAGGGUCCCGAUACCGCGAGGUGGAGGCAAUCCCAAAAAACCGGUCUCAGUUCGGAUUGCAGUCUGCAACUCGACUGCAUGAAGUCGGAAUCGCUAGUAAUCGCUGAUCAGCAGGCAGCGGUGAAUACGUUCCCGGGCCUUGUACACACCGCCCGUCAAGCCACGAAAGUUGGUAGUACCCGAAGUCGGUGUGCCAACCCGUAAGGGG
This 1420-nucleotide ribosomal RNA is filed under the name uncultured prokaryote. RNAcentral describes it as "partial 16S ribosomal RNA". It matches the Rfam family "Bacterial small subunit ribosomal RNA". The record is from RNAcentral.